CCUACGGGUGGCAGCAGUGGGGGAUAUUGCACAAUGGGCGAAAGCCUGAUGCAGCCACGCCGCGUGAGGGAUGAAGGUUUUCGGAUUGUAAACCACUGUUCUUGGUGAAGAAAAUGAUGGGACCUAAGCAGAAAGGUAUGGACAAUAUCGUGCCAGCAGCCGCGGUAAUACGUCGGGGGCAAGGGUGGUCCGGAUUUACCGGGUGUAAAGGGUGCGUAGGCGGUUUUGCAAGUCAGACGUGAACCCCUUAGGUUCAACCUGUGGACUGCGUUUGAAACUGGGGGGCUUGAGUGAGUUAGAGGUAGGCGGAAUUCCUGGUGUAGCGGUGAAAUGCGUAGAGAUCAGGAGGAACACCAGUGGCGAAGGCGGCCUACUGGGCCAUAACUGACGCUGAGGCACGAAAGCGUGGGUAGCAAACAGGAUUAGAUACCCUUGUAGUC
RNAcentral lists this ribosomal RNA (440 nucleotides) under uncultured bacterium. RNAcentral's name for it is "partial 16S ribosomal RNA". It matches the Rfam family "Bacterial small subunit ribosomal RNA", at positions 338 to 795 of the family's 1533-position model. The record is from RNAcentral.